UACGUAGGGGGCAAGCGUUGUCCGGAAUCAUUGGGCGUAAAGCGCGUGUAGGCGAUCCGGUAAGUCGGUUGUGAAAGUCCAGGGCUCAACCCUGGGAUGCCGACCGAUACUGUCGGACUAGAGUUCGGAAGAGGCGAGUGGAAUUCCCGGUGUAGCGGUGAAAUGCGCAGAUAUCGGGAGGAACACCAAUGGCGAAGGCAGCUCGCUGGGACGUUACUGACGCUGAGACGCGAAAGCGUGGGGAGCAAACAGG
This 253-nucleotide ribosomal RNA is filed under the name uncultured bacterium. RNAcentral describes it as "partial 16S ribosomal RNA". It matches the Rfam family "Bacterial small subunit ribosomal RNA", at positions 524 to 776 of the family's 1533-position model. The record is from RNAcentral.